UACGUAGGGUGCAAGCGUUGUCCGGAAUUAUUGGGCGUAAAGAGCUUGUAGGCGGUUUGUCGCGUCUGCUGUGAAAUUUCGGGGCUCAACCCCGAACUUGCAGUGGGUACGGGCAGACUAGAGUGUGGUAGGGGAGACUGGAAUUCCUGGUGUAGCGGUGAAAUGCGCAGAUAUCAGGAGGAACACCGAUGGCGAAGGCAGGUCUCUGGGCCACUACUGACGCUGAGAAGCGAAAGCAUGGGGAGCGAACAGGA
Molecule: ribosomal RNA, 254 nt
Filed under: uncultured bacterium
Lineage: Bacteria
Description: partial 16S ribosomal RNA
Rfam family: Bacterial small subunit ribosomal RNA
Source: RNAcentral